Molecule: non-coding RNA, 148 nt
Filed under: Pan paniscus (pygmy chimpanzee)
Lineage: Eukaryota; Metazoa; Chordata; Mammalia; Primates; Hominidae
Also listed under: 1 other name
Source: Rfam by way of RNAcentral
GCUUGGUGUGGUGGUGCACAUCUGUAAUCCCAGCUACUUGGGAGGCUGAGGCAGGAGAAUUGCUUGAACCUGGGAAGUGGAGGUUGCAGUGAGCCGAGAUUGCGCCACUGCACUCCAGCCUGGGUAACAAAGCAAGACUCUGUCUCAA